CAUGUAGGCGGCAUGACAAGUCUGGUGUGAAAUAUCUCGGCUCAACCGAGAAAACGCACUGGAAACUAUCAAGCUUGAGUAUCGGAGGGGAAGCUAGAAUUCCUGGUGUAGGGGUGAAAUCUGUAGAUAUCAGGAAGAAUACUGGUGGCGAAGGCGAGCUUCUGGCCAGAUACUGACGCUGAGAUGCGAAAGCGUGGGGAGCGAACAGGAUUAGAUACCCUGGUAGUCC
This 229-nucleotide ribosomal RNA is filed under the name uncultured bacterium. Its description in RNAcentral is "partial 16S ribosomal RNA". It matches the Rfam family "Bacterial small subunit ribosomal RNA", at positions 568 to 796 of the family's 1533-position model. The record is from RNAcentral.